ACAAAGAAGAAAAACCCAGAAACCUACAAUGAAUAAUAGGAGUGCAAAAAAUGUAAUUUCUAAAUCCAACAAAACCCAGUUAACCGUAUGCCCUACUUGAUAAGAACAGUUUUAACAGAACAGGCCCACAAAACCUCAUCAUAAAAUUAUGCUCAAAUUUUUACAGCAUAGGCUCUAGCUUCACAUUCUUUGUUUUCUUCUGCCAAUGUAAACAGACUCUAACAUUACAUUGAUUAUAUUAAUAGAAUUGCUGCAAGAAGAAAAUGAAAAGAAGAGGGAGCUAAUGCAUCUCACUUGGGAAUCAA
Molecule: unclassified non-coding RNA, 305 nt
Filed under: Hevea brasiliensis (rubber tree)
Lineage: Eukaryota; Viridiplantae; Streptophyta; Magnoliopsida; Malpighiales; Euphorbiaceae
Source: RNAcentral